GGGAAGAUGGCAGAGUGGUCAAUUGCAUUGGACUGUAAAUCCAACACCUUCGGGUUACAUAGGUUCAAAUCCUUUUCUUCCCA
Molecule: transfer RNA, 83 nt
Filed under: Clostridiales bacterium
Lineage: Bacteria; Bacillati; Bacillota; Clostridia; Eubacteriales
Description: tRNA-Tyr
Rfam family: tRNA
About the family: Transfer RNA (tRNA) molecules are approximately 80 nucleotides in length.
Source: RNAcentral